GCAGAUAAUAAAGCGUGGCAUCGCAGACGGCGUGGACAAAAUUCAACAACUAUUAGGACCAUAGGCCGAAUAGUUAAUAUUCACCCAAAUGCUGGCGAACUCUACUACCUUAGAAUACUGGUCAACGUUGUAAUAGGUCCAACAAGCUACGAAGACAUACUUACAGUGGGUGGUGAGAAAAGGAAAAGUUUUAAAGAAGCAUGUAGAGCUAGAGGUAUACUAGACAACGAUUUGGAGUGGCAUAAAGUGUUGGAUGAGUCAACUCAAUGGGCAACUCCACAUCAGUUACGUCAUCUAUUUGUCUUUUUGCUAAUCUACUGUGAGGUUGCUAACCCAUUAGGUUUAUGGGAACAUUGUUGGAAAUCAUUAUCUGAAGACGUCCUUCGCAAGCGCCGUCGUGAAUUUGGAUUUCAGAAGCUUACUUUAGAUGAAGAUGAGUUGCAGCAGUAUACUUUGAUUGAAGUUGAACAACUUCUGCAUCAACACGAUCGCUCACUCACAGACUUCAAAGAAAUGCCAAAGCCUGAUAAAAAGAUUCUCAAAGAACUAGGUAACAGCUUGUUGAAACAAGAAUUGUUGUACAACAGGAAAAAAGAAAAGGAAGAGCAUGAAAAACACUACCACCUUCUUAACAGUGAGCAGAGAAGAGUUUACGAUGCAGUUCUUGAUUCAGUAGUUAACAACCUGGGAAAAUUAUUCUUUCUUAACGGACCUGGUGGAACAGGGAAAACUUUUGUCUAUAAGACAUUAAUUGCAAAGUUUAGAUCAUCCAAGCAAGUGGUAUUACCUGUAGCGUCUUCAGGCAUCGCGGCAUUGCUAUUACCAGGUGGUAGGACAGCACAUUCAAGAUUUAAAAUACCACUAAAUCUCACAGAAGAUUCUAUGUGUGAUGUAAAGCCGAAUACAAUGCUCGCUGAAUUGCUUCUCAAAAUAGAUUUAAUCAUAUGGGAUGAAGCCCCAAUGUCACAUCGCCACACAUUCGAGGCACUCGAUAGGACAUUAAGAGAUUUAAUGUCUACGGAAGAUUCUUCAGCAAGUGGAAAAAUGUUUGGUGGAAAAACUGUGCUUCUAGGUGGAGAUUUCCAUCAGAUCCUACCCGUUAUAACACAUGGGUCACGAGCGGAUACAAUUCUUACAUCUAUAAGCAAAUCAUACAUAUGGGACGCAUGUAACGUAUACCACUUACAAAGAAACAUGAGGCUCCAACAGUCAGAAACAAGUUUCGCUACAUGGUUGCUAAGUAUAGGCGACGGUACUGCCCCAGAAUGCAAGACUAAAAGGGAAAUGAGAAUGACGAAGGCCAGCUUGUGGUCAUUGAUAACCGCUUCCUUCUGCAACCUACUGGAGAUCCCCUACAACAAAUUUGUCAAGCAACAAAAACACUAAAUAAGGAAUCCCAAACCAGAGCAGAAAGCCUAACUGAAAGAGCGAUUCUAACUCCACGGAACGAAACCGUAGAUGACAUUAAUGCAUACAUGUUAUCCCAAGUUCAAGGAGAGUUAAAGGAAUAUUUAAGCUACGACAGCAUCGCAAAGGCAGAUACAAUUGGAGCUGAUUAUGAAGCAUUAUACCCUAUGGAGUAUUUAAACUCACUAGAGUAUCCAGGCAUGCCGAAACAUAAGUUAAGUUUGAAACUUGGCGUCCCUAUAAUGCUAAUGAGAAACAUUAAUCAGAAAGAGGGAUUAUGCAACGGCACUAGGCUAAUUGUCACACGACUGGGAGAACGAGUCAUUGAAGGAGAAAUACUCACUGGUACACAUGCUGGCAACAAAGUAAUACUACCAAGGAUUAUUUUGUCUCCACCAAUUUCAGACCAUCCAUUCACACUCAGGAGAAGACAAUUUCCGAUCAGAGUAUGCUACGCCAUGACAAUCAACAAAAGUCAAGGACAAAGUUUGAAAUCAGUUCUACUCUAUUUGCCUACACCAGUCUUUAGCCACGGCCAACUCUACGUAGCUCUAUCUAGAGUAACCUCUCCUGAAUGCCUAACCAUUCUACAAGGAGAAGAUGAGACCGAAAAUGCAGUCACAAACAUCGUCUACAAAGAAAUCUUUAAAGAUAUCCAGAAAUAUCAAGGUAAAUAUAUAACAGCCCAAACUUUUUUAUACACAAAAAAAAAAAAAAAAAAAAUUCACGAAGCUAACAAUGUUGCAGGAUAUGCAGGUCUGUCUUCAAUUUACCCAACAUUGGAACAAGAUAACUCAUCCACAAACAAAUAGGUAUUUUACCAAACCAUUCAAUUUAAUUUACCAUAUGACUCAAGAAACUGAAUCUAAGAACUCUAAUUUUCAAACGUUGUAUUGCAUCACUAUUGGACUUCACUACAAAAUGUAAGCUCGCAGAAGAAGACUCAGAUCAUUUGUGUCUGAUGUGGAGAAAGAAGCAUGCUAAACUCUAUUAUGCCUACUAACUCAAUUGACAAUUUCGAACAGUAUUACAUUAAACUUAUGUGGUCCAUUUACUUUCAUAUUUCGAAGAAAAUUACAAUUUCGACACAUCAAUUACAACAAAAAAUAACCCAUAUAUUGACUCAACAAAAAAAACAACGAACAAGAUUCUAAUCAACAUAUACAAAUAUAAACCUGGGAAAAAAUGAAACCUUUUAAGGUCCUCAGAGAGUAAAGAACUUCUUCAUAAAUAACAAUCCUCCAAGGAAGCAUAGAUUCAGGAUCUAACAAAAUAAAGUCAAAUUACACAUCGUCAGGUGCAAACCUUACAAAAACAACAUUCAAUACAAAGGUCCCAAACUUUUGCAGAAAAUAAAAAUUAAGAAACAUUGAAGAGGAAAAAAACCAGUUCACCACGAUGUCCACCGACUUCAGUUCAAUCCCUAAACACUACUUUACCACUUUCUUUAAAGAAAAAU
Molecule: long non-coding RNA, 2866 nt
Filed under: Arabidopsis lyrata
Lineage: Eukaryota; Viridiplantae; Streptophyta; Magnoliopsida; Brassicales; Brassicaceae
Description: long non-coding RNA (ALYR_LNC001955)
Source: RNAcentral